AUUGAACGCUGGCGGCAGGCCUAACACAUGCAAGUCGAACGAGUGGCGGACGGGUGAGUAAUGUCUGGGAAACUGCCUGAUGGCGGGGGAUAACUACUGGAAACGGUAGCUAAUACCGCCUACCAUCGGAUGAGCCCAGAGGGGAUUGGCUGGGAGGUGGGGUAAAGGCUCACCUAGGCGACGAUCCCCAGCUGGUCUGAGAGGACGACCAGCCACACUGGAACUGAGACACGGUCCGUACUCCUCCGUGAGCCAGCAGGGGGGAAUAUUGGACAAUGGGCGAAAGCCUAAUCCAGCCAGGCGGGGUGUGUGAAGAGGGUUUUCGGAUUGUAAAGCACUUUAAGUUGGAAGGCGUUACCAACAGAAUAAGCACCGGCUAACUUCGUGCCAGCAGCCGCGGUAAUAC
This 406-nucleotide ribosomal RNA is filed under the name uncultured bacterium. Its description in RNAcentral is "partial 16S ribosomal RNA". It matches the Rfam family "Bacterial small subunit ribosomal RNA", at positions 30 to 526 of the family's 1533-position model. The record is from RNAcentral.